This 45-nucleotide ribosomal RNA is filed under the name Stemphylium vesicarium. RNAcentral describes it as "partial 28S ribosomal RNA". The record is from RNAcentral. Lineage: Eukaryota; Fungi; Ascomycota; Dothideomycetes; Pleosporales; Pleosporaceae.
UUGACCUCGGAUCAGGUAGGGAUACCCGCUGAACUUAACAUAUCA